Molecule: long non-coding RNA, 476 nt
Organism: Micropterus salmoides (largemouth bass)
Lineage: Eukaryota; Metazoa; Chordata; Actinopteri; Centrarchiformes; Centrarchidae
Exons: 4
Source: RefSeq, a predicted model, not a curated record
UGCAAACAGGUUACAGGUUUAUUGUUGAUCACGUUAUGGCAGGCUAGUUGAACGGACUCAAGAGCGGACUCGGGGCAGGUUUAAACCCAGGAUUUUAAAGUUUAUUGAAAAACGGGGUGCGAGAGAGGAGCAGAGGGCCAGGGAAUGGAGACCUGCGCGUGGAUCUCCAGGCAGGCAGUGAGCUGGGUGAGGCAGUGGCAGAAUCUCCAGGCAGGCAGUGAUCCUGAACACAGAGAGACAAGGUUGGAUAAGCCCUUCAGGACUUCCAGUUCCAGUUCCUCUCCUGUGAAAUCAGGUCCCAGUUUGGGGAGUAGACUGCUAAUGGUGCCCCGGGCAAAAUUUUAACAAGGACAAGAGUCUUUUGACCAACUGCCGGCCCCGGAGCUAUUUUUUACACACAAACAACAGCUGUAUUUGGACUGAAAACAGCGAAAACGGCAAAAGUACAUUCACCCUUGUCCUCCGUUCGGCUGGGC